AGAGUUUGAUCCUGGCUCAGAACUAACGCUGGCGGCGUGCCUAACACAUGCAAGUCGAGCGGUUGCCAUUUUGUAGCAAUACAGAAGAAGCGAUAGCGGCAGACGGGUGAGUAACGCGUUACCAAUCUAUCUUACCGACCGGGAUAACUAGCCGAAAGGUUAGCUAAUACCAGAUACGAUCAUCGGGCGGCAUCGUUUGA
Molecule: ribosomal RNA, 200 nt
Filed under: uncultured bacterium
Lineage: Bacteria
Description: partial 16S ribosomal RNA
Rfam family: Bacterial small subunit ribosomal RNA
Source: RNAcentral